GCGUGGCGCGCGCCCGCCUG
This 20-nucleotide microRNA is filed under the name Petromyzon marinus (sea lamprey). Its description in RNAcentral is "pma-miR-4608". The record is from miRBase by way of RNAcentral. Lineage: Eukaryota; Metazoa; Chordata; Hyperoartia; Petromyzontiformes; Petromyzontidae.